RNAcentral lists this ribosomal RNA (252 nucleotides) under uncultured bacterium. RNAcentral describes it as "partial 16S ribosomal RNA". It matches the Rfam family "Bacterial small subunit ribosomal RNA", at positions 524 to 776 of the family's 1533-position model. The record is from RNAcentral.
UACGUAGGGCGCAAGCGUGUCCGGAAUUAUUGGGCGUAAAGAGCUCGUAGGCGGUUUGUCGCGUCGGCUGUGAAAACUCGGGGCUCAACCCCGAGCCUGCAGUCGAUACGGGCAAACUAGAGUGUGGUAGGGGAGACUGGAAUUCCUGGUGUAGCGGUGAAAUGCGCAGAUAUCAGGAGGAACACCGGCGGCGAAGGCGGGUCUCUGGGCCAUAACUGACGCUGAGGAGCGAAAGCGUGGGGAGCGAACAGG